This 108-nucleotide ribosomal RNA is filed under the name Tissierellia bacterium. Lineage: Bacteria; Bacillati; Bacillota; Tissierellia. The record is from RNAcentral.
CCUGGUGAUGAUGGUAAAGUGGACACACCUGUUCCCAUCCCGAACACAGAAGUUAAGCACUUUCGCGCCGAUGGUAGUACUACGUGCAAGAGUAGGUAAUUGCCAGGC